UCCACCACCCUCUCCUUCCCCUCCUCCACCUUACUAUUACAAGUCUCCCCCACCACCAUCACCUGUUUACAAAUACAAUUCACCACCUCCACCAUCACCAACUUAUGUGUACAAAUCUCCUCCUCCUCCAACACCAGUUUAUAAAUAUAAAUCACCACCUCCACCAUCACCAACAUAUGUGUACAAGUCUCCUCCUCCUCCAACACCAGUUUACAAGUAUAAGUCACCACCUCCACCAUCACCAACAUAUGUGUACAAGUCUCCUCCUCCUCCAACACCAGUUUACAAGUAUAAGUCACCACCUCCACCAUCACCAACAUAUGUGUACAAGUCUCCUCCUCCUCCAACACCGGUAUACAAACCUCCAUACUACUACAAUUCACCUCCUCCUCCAACACCAGUUUACAAAUACAAAUCACCACCUCCUCCAUCACCAACUUACGUGUACAAGUCUCCUCCUCCACCAACACCAGUAUACAAACCCCCAUACUACUAUAACUCACCUCCUCCUCCAACACCAGUUUACAAGUAUAAUUCACCACCUCCACCAUCACCAACUUACGUGUACAAGUCUCCUCCUCCUCCCGCACCAGUUUAUAAGUACAACUCACCACCUCCUCCAACACCAGUAUACAAAUACAACUCACCACCUCCUCCAUCACCAGUUUACAAGUACAACUCACCACCUCCUCCAUCACCAGUUUACGUCUACAAGUCACCACCCCCACCAACAC
Molecule: long non-coding RNA, 734 nt
Filed under: Lathyrus oleraceus (garden pea)
Lineage: Eukaryota; Viridiplantae; Streptophyta; Magnoliopsida; Fabales; Fabaceae
Description: Pisum sativum (pea) long non-coding RNA (PSAT_LNC036744)
Source: RNAcentral